AGGGCACCACCAGGAGUGGAGCCUGCGGCUUAAUUUGACUCAACACGGGAAAACUUACCUGGUCCUGACACUAGAAGGAUUGACAGAUUGAUAGCUCUUCCUUGAUUUGGUGGAUGGUGGUGCAUGGCCGUUCUUAGUUGGUGGAGUGAUUUGUCUGGUUAAUUCCGAUAACGAACGAGACUCUAGCCUAUUAAAUAACACGCAGAAUCUUGUCUUCUGUGGCGUUUCUUAAUGGGAUCAAGUGUGUUUAACGCUUUGAAACAGAGCAAUAACAGGUCUGUGAUGCCCUUAGAUGUUCGGGGCCGCACGCGCGCUACAUUGAGAGACAAAAUGAGUUCUCUAGUCUUUAAUAAGGCUAGUAAUCUUUGAAUGUUUUUCUUAAUGGGGAUAGGGGAUUGCAAUUGUGCCCCUUGAACGAGGAAUUCCCAGUAAGUGCUAGUCAUUAGCUAGUACUGAUUACGUCCCUGCCCUUUGUACACACCGCCCGUCGCUACUACCGAUUGAAUGGUUUAGUGAGAU
RNAcentral lists this ribosomal RNA (519 nucleotides) under uncultured eukaryote. RNAcentral describes it as "SSU rRNA". It matches the Rfam family "Eukaryotic small subunit ribosomal RNA", at positions 1161 to 1707 of the family's 1831-position model. The record is from RNAcentral.